GGGGGGCAUGUUUCUUUCUUUUUCUUUUUUUUUUUUUUUUUGGUGGGGACAAAUGUCUUCAUUAUUAUAGGAAUAUCUGACACAUCUGGUUUGAUCUUGUGGGAACAUUUGGCUAGUCUGCAUGAGAAACUGCUUUUAUACACAUGUAAAAACUGCAGCUUUUAUUUCCAAAACUAAAACAGCCAUGAGGUUUCUUUUUGGUUACUAAAGUUCAGGUUAGAUUUAGGUCUCAGUGGAAGGUUCUCACAAGGGUAGUAAAGUGUGUGUGUGUGUGUGUGUGUGUGUGUACCUCUACAUACCACUGGAAAUUUCAUGAUAAUUAUACGCAGGGAGUAAUUACCUUUCCAAAGAGAUAACGAUGGCCAAUUAAACCUUCAAACAGGAUGGGUUUAUGUGGAUCAUAUCCACUCAAUUACUAAACCGUUUCAAAGGAGCUCCACACUACAGAACAUAAAGAACCUUUGUUUUUGAUGUGUGUAUAAGCCCUUGGCGUGUGUGUCAGUGUGUUUGUAUUGGACUGUGUAUAGGUUCGGUGGUUGGAUGGAGCGGAUGGGGUUAGGGAGGGGUGACUCUUCAUGCUGCACGCACACUGCACACUGCAGCUGUGUCUGGAGUUAUGUACAAAUAUUUAAACCCACUCACAUCCUUUCCCUUCAAAUGGUCUCUUCAGCACCCAUAGCAGCUCCUGUCGCACUUCUUCACCUCGGUCACGUCUUCAGACCCUCUUCAGAAGUCUGCCGUUCCUGUGGUGUACCAUACCCCACAGCAGGGAAUGCACUGCUGCAUGUGAGGGACAGUGUUGAAGAAAGUGAGGGGUUUUACUGUGACUUUAAACUUCAGUUUUAUUUAUAUUUCAAAAUAAGAAAAGAACAAUGUAGCAUGUGAUAAAUCAAACGUAUUCAUACACUCAAAAAACAGGUUCCAUUUAGCACCCCUUCAGGGUUCCUUAACUUUAUUUAUUUAUUUAUUUAUUUAUUUAUUUAUUUAUUUAUUUGCUUGCUUACUUACUUCCUUAACAGGGACGACACACAUGACACAGUGGCACAGCAGGUAGUGUUGCAGCCUCCCAGCUCCAGGUUUCGGUCCUGAGCUCGGGUUACCGUAUGUGGAGUUUUAUUGCAUGUUCUCCCCAUGUAUGCAUGGGCUUCUUUCGGGUUCGGGUUCAUUUCCCAAAAACAUGCCAGUACGUGGACUGUCAAAAACAAAUUGCCCCUAGGUGUGAAUGAGUGUGUGUUUGUGUGUGGGCAUUGUACACUGCAAUGGGCUCCAGGGGGUAUUCCUGCUUCAUGCCCAGUAGUACCAGAAUAGGCUCCAGAUCCCCCAUCACCCUGACCAGGAUAAAGGGAACUACUGAAUGUGACUGAGUGAAUACACAUUAAUCUAAUCAGUAUUCAUGAUGUAAAUGUGUCAGAUUUAGCCAACUGGCUAAUUUUCAUCUACUGUCCCUGUGCAGGUUGAUGUUAUUAAAAAAUUAAUUGGAUAAAAAGAACAGGUAAGAAAGGAAGAAAAAAUAAAACAACAAAAGAACAUGGUUACACCUAAAGCACCUCAUACACUAAAUACACAUAACACAGUCCAUGAUAUGAGUGUGACACUACAAUAUGUGAGCACUGUUAACAUGCUCGCUCGAUCGAUAGAUGGAUAGAUAGCUAUACAGAGGUGUGUGUGUGUGUGUGUGUGUGUGUGUGUGUGUGUAUAUAUAUGUAUAUAUAUAAUGUGUAUAUAUAUGUAUAUGUGUGUGUAUAUAUGUGUGUGUGUGUGUGUUUGUAUAAAAAUGUAAUAAGCCACUGGUUUUCAAGUCUUCAAGCAGCUGGACGGGGGCAACAAAUGACUGGAAAAGUAAGUGUUACUAAAAACAAACAGCUGGUGGAACAUUUUGAAAGUAACUAGAUUAAUUGGCAACAGGUCUGUAACAUGAAUGGAUAUAAAAAUGAGUAUCUAAUAGAGGCAGAGUCUCUCGGAAUUAAAGAUGGGAUGGAUUCCGGAUGGAAGCAUAUAUUGCUCUAAAACCUGUAUAUACCUUUCAGCACUGAUUGUGCCUUUCCUGAGGUUAAACAUUUGAUGUUUUUUAUGUUCUAUUAUGAAUAACAUUCUUAUGAGAUUUGCAAAUCAUUGCAUUCUGUUUUUAUUUACAUUUUACACAGCGUCCCAACUUUUUUGGAAUUGGGGUUGUAUAUCC
This is a long non-coding RNA of Ictalurus punctatus (channel catfish), 2179 nucleotides long. The record is from Ensembl. NCBI's taxonomy places the organism in Eukaryota, Metazoa, Chordata, Actinopteri, Siluriformes, Ictaluridae.